Molecule: regulatory RNA element, 131 nt
Organism: Flavobacterium columnare ATCC 49512
Lineage: Bacteria; Pseudomonadati; Bacteroidota; Flavobacteriia; Flavobacteriales; Flavobacteriaceae
Rfam family: Bacteroidete tryptophan peptide leader RNA
Source: Rfam
UACAAAUAUUUAGAAUAAAAAUGCAAAAUAGUUUAAACAAUACUUGGUGGUGGAACAACUUACGUCAGUCGUCGUGAGCAGUACCAGCUAUGUAGUAGUUUAAAACCAUAAUAUACUCAAAAAGGCUUGUC